GAGGGUUUAGCUCAGGGGUAGAGUGUGUGCUUAGCAUGCGUGAGGUACUGGGUUCAAUCCCCAGGACCUCCA
RNAcentral lists this transfer RNA (72 nucleotides) under Camelus bactrianus (Bactrian camel). It matches the Rfam family "tRNA". From Rfam's summary of the family: Transfer RNA (tRNA) molecules are approximately 80 nucleotides in length. Their secondary structure includes four short double-helical elements and three loops (D, anti-codon, and T loops). The record is from Rfam by way of RNAcentral. Lineage: Eukaryota; Metazoa; Chordata; Mammalia; Artiodactyla; Camelidae. RNAcentral also lists the same sequence under 2 other names.